This 1177-nucleotide long non-coding RNA is filed under the name Cicer arietinum (chickpea). RNAcentral describes it as "long non-coding RNA (CARI_LNC001865)". Lineage: Eukaryota; Viridiplantae; Streptophyta; Magnoliopsida; Fabales; Fabaceae. The record is from RNAcentral.
AUUAACAUAACUCAUAGACUAAAAUAAUAUCAAUAACAUUUCCCCAGCUCUUUGUAGAUUAUAUUUUCUUGUAUAGGGAAAUGGCCAAAGUCCUCGUAUCAAUGUUACUCCUACUCCAAGUGAGUUGUUUCAUUGUAUUUGCUAAGGACCACCACCAUCACUCAUCGAUCCCAAGUCCUAUACACCCACCUUCUCCGGCUCCUAUCCAACCUCAUCUUCAUGAUGUCUAUUUUCAUAAACAUGUUUCUGUACACCCUCAUUUAUCCUUUGGUUACGAAGUAGAUACAGAUCAUAAACAUCAUUCCCACCAUCACCAUCAUUCAUCAACCUCAAGCCCUGUUCACCCACCUUCUUGGACCCCUGUCGAUCCUCCUGUUCAUGAUGUCUAUUUUCACAAACAUGUUCCUGUACACCAUCAUUUAUCCUCUGGUUACGAAGUAGAUACAGAUCAUAAACAUCAUUCCCACCAUCACCAUCAUUCAUCAACCUCAAGCCCUGUUCACCCACCUUCUUGGACCCCUGUCGAUCCUCCUGUUCAUGAUGUCUAUUUUCAGAAACAUGUUCCUGUGCACCCUUAUUUAUCCUCUGGUCACGAAGUAGAUACAGAUCAUAAACAUCAUUCCCAUCAUCAUCAUCAUUCAUCAACCUUAAGCCAUGUUCACUCGCCUUCUCCGGCCCCUAUCCAACCUCAUCUUCAUGAUGUCUAUUUUCACAAACAUGUUUCUGUACACCCUCAUUUAUCCUCUAGUUACAAAGUAGAUACAGAUCAUAAACACCACUCCCAACAUCACCAUCACUCAUCAACAUCAAGCCCUGUUCACCCACCUUCUUCGACCCAUGUCCAUCCUCCUUUGUCCCCCAGUUACGGAAUAGAUAUAGAUCAUAAGCACAAGAUCCAUCAUCAUCAUCACUCAUCAACUCCAGCUCCUAUUCAUCCCCCUUCUUCGGUCCCUAGCCAUCCUCCACUUUUGAAUCGUCUUAAUUACAAACUUAACCAUGCAUCAUUCACAUCCAAUCACUAGAAGCUUUGUAGUUUUUCCCAAUAAUGAGUGACAUUAUAUGAUGUAAUAGAAUAUAAAUAAAAUUAUGUUUAUUACUUUUGUUUGAUUUGAUGUAUCUAGUUGUCUUUGUUGUUUUCAAUCUCGAAUCAACGAAAUUUAAACUUCAAACAAACAAA